GGGGUGGGGACGGGGGCGGUGGAGCUGGAAGAUCCUGCUUCCUGAGGAUCCAGCCUCAGAUUAUUGGCCCAUAUCCAGCCCGUCACCACCUCCAAGCACCAGUUCAGCAUUUCAACCACCUCUCCUAAUACGAAUGGAACAGAAAGGUAGAGCUGGGUGUCAUUGGCAUAUUGAUGGCCCCUCUUUCCAAAUCUCCUGAGGACAUGUCCCAGUGGCUUCAUAUAGAUGUUAAGAAGCAUGGGGGACAAGAUGGAGCCCUGCAGAACCCCACAGGACAAUUCCCAUGGUGCUGAGCAAUAGCGUCCUAUUUUUGGGAAGCGGCCCUGGAAUUAUGAGCAGAACCACUGAAGCACUGUGCCCCCAACCCUCACCGCCCUGAGACACUCCAGAAGGAUACCGUGGUCAACAGUAUCAAAAGCUGCUGAAAAAUCAAGAAGAACGAGCAAGGUUGCAUUCUCCCGUCUCUCUCCCAACAGAAGUCAUCAAUCAGGGCGACUGAGGCAGUUCCAGUGGCCAGGCCUGAAGCAAGACUGGAAUGGAUCCAAGUGAUCCGUUUCCUCCAAACAUGCUUGAAGCUGAACCGUCACCACCUUCUUGAGCACCUUGACCAAAAAGGGGGUAUUUGUCACUGGACGAUAGUUGUUUGCUGGGGCCAGGAAGGUCCUCUUAAGAAGGCACCGCACUGCCACCUCCUUCAAGGCAGAUGGUACCUCCCACUGCUCCAGUGAAACAUUAAUCACUCCCUGGACCCACCCAGUUAACCCCCUGUGGCUAGCUUUAAGUAGCAAAGGUGGGCAAGGGUCAAGGGAGCAGGUGGACAGUCGUACUUUUUGAGCAGCAUGUCCACAACCUCUGGCCGCACAAAUAAAAAACUGAUCCAGUGCAGAUGCAUCAGACUGAGCUCUGGACACCUCCAUUAGACUUACUCUAACCGAGGCGUCCAAAUCUGAGCGAUUUUGUCCCUGAAGUGCCUUGCAAAGUUGUUCCAGCAGGCCUCUGAGAAUGUCAGAGUGAUGCUCUCUUGGCCAGAUGAUAACAGCUCUGCUGGGCAGCUACCUGCAGACUGCAAUUGCAGAUGCAAUUGUGGCAGAGAAGUAAGCUUUCUUUGCCGCUGCCGCUGCCACAUGGUCAGCACGAUGGUGCAGCCUUACCCAUGUUUGGUCAGGUUCAGACAGAGAUUUACGUCACCUGCACUCCAGCUGCUGACACUCCUGUUUCAUCGCAUGCAGGUCACCAGAAUACCAAGGUGAACCAUGCACUCCACAGCAAUGGUGGGGGCACUCAGGAGCAAUUGCGUCAAUGGCUCUACGCAUCCCACCAUUCCACAGUAAGACAAGGGCCUUGACAGGAGUACCAGCCAUUUAAGCUGAAAAAUCCCCCAUAGCAGUCAGGAAUCCAUCAGAUUCUGUAAGUUUCUGAGGGCAGACCAUCUCAAUGGGUCCCCCACUCUUUGAGAGUGGGGUAGCUACAUUCAGCCCAAACCUUACUAAGGAAUGGUCCAUCCAUGACAACAGACUCGCAGCGGGUCCCCAAAUGAACGGGGUGUUACCAAUCCACUCUGUAGCAAAGACCAGAUUGAGGUCUGCCUGACACAGCUGUCAUGGAGACCAUGAAGUCCUGAGCAACCUCUGCAUGGAUAUUGCAGUCUUCCAACAUCCCCACCCACAGGCAACUCCCAAAACAUCCCCCACCUGUCAAGAAUAGCUAAGUUUGGUCAAGCUAAAAUGGCUCAACCAGUGGGAAUUCUCUGCAGAGACCUCCAGGAUACUCUGUGUUGGGGAAACCCAAGUGUUCUAGCGCCAGACAGCUGCAAAUUGCUAACGUCAAAAAGAUACAGCUGAGUCCUAUCUGUUAUCUCUUAUCUGCUUUCUGAGAUCAAAGUCAGGAGUUUGGGUAUUGCAAAUCAGGGACUGCUUGGUGUGACUGUCUAGCCCUCCUUAUCUUCAAAGAAGGUGAUCAUGGAAGGGGUGCCUAGGAUGGCUAAUUGGCCCCCUCCCUGUUGCCAGCUAAAUCCCAUAAAAUGAAGGUGAUCCUUCAGUUACUCGUUCCCCAUUUCAUCCGUCUCGUUCCAUCUAUGGAUUUCAGUCAAAGCCUUUGGGAACUAGGCUAUCAGACUACAAAGUGCGCAUUAGCAAGGAUAGGCAAGCUUUGUUAUUUUUCUUUGUCUGUUUUGAACCUCUCACAGUGUUAUGUAAAUGUAUUUCUUGCUCAGCCCAGUUGUGGGUAAUUGGCUUUAAAGGAAAGUAAUGCUGCUCUCUUUUUUACAUGUAUCUUUCUUUUCUUUUUAAAUAAACUACCUUUUCUUCA
Rhineura floridana is the source of this 2307-nucleotide long non-coding RNA. RefSeq lists it as uncharacterized. The record is from RefSeq and is a predicted model, not a curated record. Lineage: Eukaryota; Metazoa; Chordata; Lepidosauria; Squamata; Rhineuridae. The transcript is spliced from 2 exons.